GUGCCAGCCGCCGCGGUAAUACAGAGGGUGCAAACGUUGCUCGGAAUCAUUGGGCGUAAAGCGCGUGUAGGCGGCUCGUUAAGUCGGUUGUGAAAACCCAUGGCUCAACCAUGGAAGGGCGUCCGAAACUGGCGAGCUAGAGUCCCGACGAGGAUGGCGGAAUUCCCAGUGUAGAGGUGAAAUUCGUAGAUAUUGGGAGGAACACCGGUGGCGAAGGCGGCCAUCUGGGAGGGCACUGACGCUGAGACGCGAAAGCGUGGGGAGCAAACAGGAUUAGAAACCCUGGUAGUCC
Molecule: ribosomal RNA, 292 nt
Filed under: uncultured bacterium
Lineage: Bacteria
Description: partial 16S ribosomal RNA
Rfam family: Bacterial small subunit ribosomal RNA
Source: RNAcentral